GGGCGAAUCAGGUGGGCCAGUGGCGCGUCCUAGGAGCCGGUCUGACUCUUCAGGGCGGCUACCCGGGAACGCUCCCGUGAGGCAAGCUCCACAAAAGCCAGAACGUGCUGGCACCCUAAAGAGUGCUGGUUACCUAGUUGGUGCUCAAGAAAGUUUUCCUAAUUGAAUGAAGAGAGCCUCAGCGUUAUAACUUCACCUGAUGUCCAUCAAUACCUGUAUCCAGCCUGCGCAAUCUGUACUGUGUACUGAAAUUCCGUGUGGGCCCCAGUCAACAUCCUGUGUGGUAAACUCUGUCCAGACGGGAUCAGCGCCCCUUGGGCAGGUGCCUCUGUCCAGCACUGCUCAGCACCCUCUGGGGGAACAGCUCCUCCAGCUCUGAUCAGCACUCGGCGGGGAAACAGCUCCUGCAGCCCCAGUCCUCACGUUUUAGGGAGACAUCUCCGUGGGCCAAUCAGCACCCCUCGUGGGACAGCUCCGACCAGCCCUGGUCAGCACCCAGACGUGGACAGCUCCUCCAGCCCCGUUCGCGCACAGCCCACACUCUGUCUGAACCACUCGGAUCCCGGCUUGGGAACCCCAGGCUUCUGCUCUGAUUCCCUGGAAGUCGGCGCAGCUCCCGGGGCCGCACCCACCCCUC
This is a long non-coding RNA of Bos taurus (domestic cattle), 637 nucleotides long. The record is from Ensembl. Lineage: Eukaryota; Metazoa; Chordata; Mammalia; Artiodactyla; Bovidae.